This 68-nucleotide transfer RNA is filed under the name Chryseobacterium gleum. RNAcentral's name for it is "tRNA-His". It matches the Rfam family "tRNA". Rfam says of the family: Transfer RNA (tRNA) molecules are approximately 80 nucleotides in length. RNAcentral also lists the same sequence under 45 other names. The record is from RNAcentral. Lineage: Bacteria; Pseudomonadati; Bacteroidota; Flavobacteriia; Flavobacteriales; Weeksellaceae.
UUUAGCUUAUUUGGUAAAGCGCCGGUCUGUGGAACCGGAGAACAGGGUUCGAUCCCCGGAGAUACCCA